UUACAGCCAUAUCAUGUUGAAACACCGGUUCUAAUCACCAAAGUUAAGCAACACUGAGCUAGAUCAGUACUCAGAUGGAUAACCUCUAGGGAAGACCAUGUACUGUAUG
Molecule: non-coding RNA, 109 nt
Organism: Acanthosepion pharaonis
Lineage: Eukaryota; Metazoa; Mollusca; Cephalopoda; Sepiida; Sepiidae
Source: the annotation of a GenBank genome assembly